RNAcentral lists this unclassified non-coding RNA (179 nucleotides) under uncultured fungus. Its description in RNAcentral is "sequence contains ITS1, 5.8S rRNA gene". The record is from RNAcentral. Lineage: Eukaryota; Fungi.
AAUGUUAUAGCAACCCUCUGGCUGAAAAUGCCAGGGGGCACAACUAUACCACCCUUUGUUUAUUACACUUUUGUUGCUUUGGUAGGCCAGUCCUCGGACUGCUGGCUUCGGCCGGACAGCGCCUACCAGAGGACCUAAACUCUGUUUGUCUAUAAUGUCUGAGUACUAUAUAAUAGUUA